GUGGGGAAUAUUGGACAAUGGGCGAAAGCCUGAUCCAGCCAUGCCGCGUGUGUGAAGAAGGUCUUCGGAUUGUAAAGCACUUUAAGUUGGGAGGAAGGGCAGUAAGUUAAUACCUUGCUGUUUUGACGUUACCGACAGAAUAAGCACCGGCUAACUUCGUGCCAGCAGCCGCGGUAAUACGAAGGGUGCAAGCGUUAAUCGGAAUUACUGGGCGUAAAGCGCGCGUAGGUGGUUUUGUAAGUUGGAGGUGAAAUCCCCGGGCUCAACCUGGGAACUGCCUCCAAAACUGCAUGACUAGAGUACGGUAGAGGGUAGUGGAAGUUCCUAUGUAGCGGUGAAAUGCGUAGAUAUAGGAAGGAACACCAGUGGCGAAGGCGACUACCUGGACUGAUACUGACACUGAGGUGCGAAAGCGUGGGGAGCAAACAGGAUUAGAUACCCCGGUAGUCC
Molecule: ribosomal RNA, 450 nt
Filed under: uncultured bacterium
Lineage: Bacteria
Description: bacterial SSU rRNA
Rfam family: Bacterial small subunit ribosomal RNA
Source: RNAcentral